Long non-coding RNA from Homo sapiens (human), 1134 nucleotides. Ensembl annotates it as long intergenic non-protein coding RNA 2028. The record is from Ensembl. Lineage: Eukaryota; Metazoa; Chordata; Mammalia; Primates; Hominidae.
GAGCUCCCAACAAAACGGUUCCAUCUUUGGCUAGGCCUUUGGUAUUUCAAGGCGCUGCCGGUGGGGAGAGAUGCCGCGUGCCUGAGAGGCUCUGGGAGGCACCAAAGAAGGCCCAGAGAGGUUUAACAACUUCCUCAGAAUCACACAGCUUCCAAAUGGUUGGGUUGGGUUUACAUUUAGGCGGUCUUGCUCCAGAGCCAGUGCUCCUAACCUUUGCAAGCCACGAACCUCAAGAAAGUGGAGAAGGAAACGCUGGGAAAUCUGGAAGUCAGACAUGAGAGCUAAUGCUGGCAGCUGUUGGGAUGUCCUCUUCCAGGAAUGGUGAUGAGUUUCCCUGGAUCCAGCCCUGGCUUGGCUGAGGGAUUAUUUUCAGACCUCAUGAAGCUGCUGGCUUAUAGAACAGGAGUCUUUCUGUUGGCAGCCAGGAGAGAUACAAGAGGGGGAGGACAGAUUCUGCAGCUCCAUUUCGUGAGCCAUCACCUGUCUUUGUCCCUUUUUUUUUCAGUAGGGUAUGUGGGAGCAAUAAGGCAAGGAAACCUCAAGGGUGGCCCUUGGUUACACAAAGUCUUAUAAAUGCUUCCAAAGCACAGAGGCUUCCUCCUUCUCAGGAUGCGGGCUGGAGAUGAAGUCCCCCAUUCCCUGCUCUUGCUCAGGCCAUUUUUACCAAGGUUCCCUCUCACACAGGUCCCUCACAGCUGGCCUCAUGGUGUGGGAAGGGGCCCAGACAGCUAAAGUCAGAUCUGGCCAGGCAAAGCCUUGAGGUCCCAGAAGGCCCUGCCCAGAGCCAGGUGUCCUCACAGUGAGGCCUUGGGCUUACAGACCUGAGUACUUCCCAUGGGAGAUACCUGGUCCCAGAGGUAACUCUUGAUAAGGGCUUAUGGAUUCUCCCUCUGGCUUUGAGCUGUGUUGCACCCGUAGGUGCUGAUUUACGUGAGGAUUAGGAAAAUGCUACACUUUGAGGUAGCCUUAGGGAGGGGCUAGACAUCUUUAUCACCUCUGAAGGUGGCUCAAGAAUCAGAGUAAGGGUUUGAACAGUAUUUCCACAGGUCAAGGGGCAACUCUCUUCCUUCCAAUCACCCCCACAGAUCUCUGUUUCACCUCAAAAUAAAUGCUGAACAAAAAUUUCAAGAAGAA